Molecule: ribosomal RNA, 459 nt
Filed under: uncultured bacterium
Lineage: Bacteria
Description: partial 16S ribosomal RNA
Rfam family: Bacterial small subunit ribosomal RNA
Source: RNAcentral
CCUACGGGGUGCAGCAGUGAGGAAUAUUGGUCAAUGGGCGGGAGCCUGAACCAGCCAAGUCGCGUGAGGGAAGACGGUCCUAUGGAUUGUAAACCUCUUUAGGCGGGGAGCAAAAGACGCCACGCGUGGCGUUCCGAGAGUACCCGAAGAAAAAGCAUCGGCUAACUCCGGGCCAGCAGCCGCGGUACUACGGAGGAUGCGAGCGUUAGCCGGAUUUGUUGGGUUUAACGGGAGCGCAGUGGGAAGAUCAAGUUAGCGGUAAAAUUGAGAGGCUCAACCUCUUCGAGCCGUUGAAACUGGUUUUCUUGAGUGAGCGAGAAGGAUGCGGAAUGCGUGGUGUAGCGGUGAAAUGCAUAGAUAUCACGCAGAACUCCGAUUGCGAAGGCAGCAUACCGGCGCUCAACUGACGCUCAUGCACGAAAGUGUGGGUAUCGAACAGGAUUAGAUACCCUUGUAGUC